Pantherophis guttatus is the source of this 446-nucleotide non-coding RNA. The record is from RefSeq and is a predicted model, not a curated record. Lineage: Eukaryota; Metazoa; Chordata; Lepidosauria; Squamata; Colubridae.
UAGGCCUGAUAAUCAGUUGUGUGGCAGGGAAACCUUGGAGUAGCUCGAAGAAGGCCUGGAGAUCUUUCAGGAGACUGGAGGCACAUCAAAUGAGAAAACAGUUCAAGAAACAAAAAGAGUGUCAACUCUGAAACUGAUCAAGCCCACAGCAGCCAUCUUCCGUUUCUCAAAUUGCCACACAGCUCAGGGAGGGAGGAGAGGAAUGGAAUGCAAACUAGCCAAAACAACCUACUACAUCCUGGGAACCAAGGUUGCUUCCAACAGGUGCUGGACAGAGAAUCAUCAAGGAGAUGCAAGGACACCCAAAUUAGACAAUGUGAUCCGUGACACUAGGGAGGGAGGAAUUUCUAAUGUUUGUAUGCUGAAACUGUGGGAAAUAACUAGAGCUGGUUUUAGGAUUAUUUGUGCUGAAAUGAUGUACUCAAUAAAGCAAUUCUUUGAGGAAA